This 251-nucleotide ribosomal RNA is filed under the name uncultured bacterium. RNAcentral describes it as "partial 16S ribosomal RNA". It matches the Rfam family "Bacterial small subunit ribosomal RNA", at positions 524 to 776 of the family's 1533-position model. The record is from RNAcentral.
GACGGAGGGUGCAAGCGUUGUUCGGAUUGACUGGGCGUAAAGGGCGUGUAGGCGGUUGGUCAAGUCUGGUGUGAAAGCCCGGGGCUUAACCCCGGAAGUGCGCUGGAAACUAGCCAGCUAGAGCGCGAGAGAGGAGGGUGGAAUUCCUGGUGUAGCGGUGAAAUGCGUAGAUAUCAGGAGGAACACCGGCGGCGAAGGCGGCCCUCUGGCUCGUUGCUGACGCUGAAACGCGAAAGCGUGGGAGCAACAGG